AUUGAACGCUGGCGGCAGGCCUAACACAUGCAAGUCGAACGGUAACAGGAAGCAGCUUGCUGCUUUGCUGACGAGUGGCGGACGGGUAAGUAAUGUCUGGGAAACUGCCCGAUGGAGGGGGAUAACUACUGGAAACGGUGGCUAAUACCGCAUAACGUCGCAAGACCAAAGAGGGGGACCUUAGGGCCUCUUGCCAUCGGAUGUGCCCAGAUGGGAUUAGCUAGUAGGUGGGGUAACGGCUCACCUAGGCGACGAUCCCUAGCUGGUCUGAGAGGAUGACCGGCCACACUGGAACUGAGACACGGUCCAGACUCCUACGGGAGGCAGCAGUGGGGAAUAUUGCACAAUGGGCGCAAGCCUGAUGCAGCCAUGCCGCGUGUAUGAAGAAGGCCUUCGGGUUGUAAAGUACUCUCAGCGGGGAGGAAGGGAGUAAAGUUAAUACCUUUGCUCAUUGACGUUACCCGCAGAAGAAGCACCGGCUAACUCCGUG
This 490-nucleotide ribosomal RNA is filed under the name uncultured bacterium. Its description in RNAcentral is "partial 16S ribosomal RNA". It matches the Rfam family "Bacterial small subunit ribosomal RNA", at positions 30 to 507 of the family's 1533-position model. The record is from RNAcentral.